UUUNNAUGACGCUGGCGGCUGGCCUACCAUNCAAGUCGAACGGUAGCACAGAGAGCUUGCUCUCGGGUGACGAGUGGCGGACGGGUGAGUAAUGUCUGGGAAACUGCCUGAUGGAGGGGGAUAACUACUGGAAACGGUAGCUAAUACCGCAUAACGUCGCAAGACCAAAGAGGGGGACCUUCGGGCCUCUUGCCAUCAGAUGUGCCCAGAUGGGAUUAGCUAGUAGGUGGGGUAACGGCUCACCUAGGCGACGAUCCCUAGCUGGUCUGAGAGGAUGACCAGCCACACUGGAACUGAGACACGGUCCAGACUCCUACGGGAGGCAGCAGUGGGGAAUAUUGCACAAUGGGCGCAAGCCUGAUGCAGCCAUGCCGCGUGUAUGAAGAAGGCCUUCGGGUUGUAAAGUACUUUCAGCGGGGAGGAAGGCGAUAAGGUUAAUAACCUUGUCGAUUGACGUUACCCGCAGAANAAGCACNGGCUAACUCCGUGCCAGCAGCCGCGGUAAUACGGAGGGUGCAAGCGUUAAUCGGAAUUACUGGGCGUAAAGCGCACGCAGGCGGUCUGUCAAGUCGGAUGUGAAAUCCCCGGGCUCAACCUGGGAACUGCUUCNAACNGGCAGGCUGGAAUUCUUGUAAAAGGGGGGUAAAAUUCCAGGUGUACCGGUGAAAUGCCNUAAANAUCUGGAAGGAAUACCCGGNGGGCNAANGGCGGCCCCCNUGGACNAAAAACUGACCCUUCAGGUGCCAAAACNUUGGGGAGCAAACNGGAAUUNAAUCCCC
Molecule: ribosomal RNA, 779 nt
Filed under: Klebsiella sp.
Lineage: Bacteria; Pseudomonadati; Pseudomonadota; Gammaproteobacteria; Enterobacterales; Enterobacteriaceae
Description: partial 16S ribosomal RNA
Rfam family: Bacterial small subunit ribosomal RNA
Source: RNAcentral